This is a long non-coding RNA of Homo sapiens (human), 211 nucleotides long. RefSeq lists it as uncharacterized. The record is from RefSeq and is a predicted model, not a curated record. Lineage: Eukaryota; Metazoa; Chordata; Mammalia; Primates; Hominidae. The transcript has 2 exons.
AUUCAUUUGAACAACUUUGGGGCAAUUAGAUGUAAACAGAAUUUAUGCCUGCGAAGCUCUUUAAAUGAGGAGACACAGGAGUCAUGAAGCCAGUGGGAGUUAUCAGAAAGGGAUCUGAGAAUGUUUGUGAGAAGUACUUUACUGAGUUAAAAUGUUACGGAUCUAGAUUUAAGUCUGAUAUAUUUAAGAAAUAAACCAAAUAGUGACAAAA